AACCCGCGGCGCCCGGUCCCCGGCCCGCCCCUUUGUCCCGCUUUGGGCGGGGCCGCAGGCGGGGGGCGGCCCUGGUCGGCGCUCGCCCCUUGGGUGAGCGGGGCGGGCUGAGGCCGGACCCGCACCCAACGUUUGGGGGCCGGAGCAAUACGUGGACGCCACGUCGGCCUUGUCACUGACCCCACCGGAACCCAGCCUGAGAGAAGCGCGAGUUGUGGGUGCCACAACUCGGGGCUGCGGGGGUGACCGGGUAGAGAGGUGGAGCCAGCAGGGAAAAUGUCUUUGAGGAGGUGAUGGUGAAAUUGAAGUCAAGAAAAUGAGGAGAUAGCUUUGGGAAAAGCCAAGCAGAGACAUUCCAAGUCAAGAACAGUUUGUGCCGAGGCCCUGAGAAAGGGGCUUGCCUGAUGGUGCAGUGGUUAAGAAUCCGCCAGCCGGUGCAGGGGACAGGGUUUCAAUCCCUGGUC
This is a long non-coding RNA of Delphinapterus leucas (beluga whale), 464 nucleotides long. RefSeq lists it as uncharacterized. Lineage: Eukaryota; Metazoa; Chordata; Mammalia; Artiodactyla; Monodontidae. The record is from RefSeq and is a predicted model, not a curated record.